GGUUUUUGUUCUUUAUUUUGGUUUGGCCAGGGUGUUACAUUGUGUGGGCGUUCUAUGUUCAUUUUUCUAUGUUUUUGUAUUUCUUUGUUUUGGGCCGUGUGUGGCUCCCAAUCAGGCACAGCUGUAGUUCGUUGUUGCUGAUUGGGAGUCACACAUAAGGAGCCUGUUUUUCCUUUGGGUUUCGUGGGGGAUUGUUUCUGUUUCAGGUUUGCACCUGACAGUACAGUUUGGCUGUCGGUUUUCUUGUUUUUGUAUAGUGUUCACGUUGUUUAAUAAAUGCCUGAAGAUGAACACUAACUCCGCUGCACCCUGGUCUACUCUCUCUUCCGACGGCCGUUACACACCCACAAAACCCCAUGAAAAACAGGCUGCCUAAGUAUGGCUUCCAAUCAGAGACAACGAAAAACACCUGCCUCUGAUUGGAAACCAUACACCGGCCACAACAUAGAAAAUACAACAUAGAACGACAAUCUAGACAACCCACAUAGAAAACAGAAAACCCCAAAUACAUAGACAAAAACACCCCCCUGUCACGCCCUGACCAAUCUACUAUGGAAAAAUGACCUCAUACUAAGGUCAGAACGUGACAGUACCCCCCCCCCCUUCCUCUUCUCCCGAUCCUCCAGCAACGGAGGUGGCUCUGGCUCAGGGCGAAACCUCCAUUCCGCCCGUAGAUUCCUCUGCUUCUGUAACAUAAGCCUGUAGAUCAUCAUUGGAGGAAUCGGAUUGUAGAUACUUAUCGGAAUCACUUUGCUGUAGACCACUACUGGAGGUUCCGACCUCCAAGCCGCCGCUGAAGGCUCUGGGCUGCAGACCUCCGCUGAAGGCUCUGGGCUGCAGACCUCCGCUGAAGGCUCUGGGCUGCAGACCACUACUGAAGGCUAUGGGCUGCAGACCUCUGCUGAAGGCUCUGGGCUGUGAGGCGUCGCUGGAGGUCCCGGACUGGGAAGCGUCGCUGGAGGCUCCGGACUAGGAGGUGUCAUCAUCGGUUCCGGACUUAUGACCGUUGCUACUGACUCCAUGCCAUGGAUAAUUUCAAUAGGUUCCUCGCCAAGGAUCAUCCUUAUGGGCGUCGGACCAUUGACUAUCACUGGAGGCUUUUUACGAGGAGCAGGAAUCGGUCUCACCGGACUGGGGAGACGCACUAAGGCCCGAGUGCUCACAGCAGGCACUGGCCGUACCGGGUUAUGGAUGCAUACUGGAGGCUUUUUACGAGGCACAGGAAUCGGUCUCACCGGACUGGGGAGACGCCCUAAGGGCCGAGUGCUCACAGCAGGCACUGGCUGUACCGGGUUAUGAAUGCGCACUGGAGGGAGAGUGCGAGGAGCAGGAAUCGGUCUCACCGGACUGGGGAGACGCACAAAGGGCCGAGUACUCACAGCAGGCACUGGCUGUACCGGGUUAUGGAUGCGCACUGGAGGAAGAGUGUGAGGAGCAGGAAUCGGUCUCAACGGACUGGGGAGACGCACGACUAUGGAAAAAUGACCUCAUACUAAGGUCAGAACGUGACAGGUUGACAUUUUCAUACCUCCAAUGAAGUUUUAAAAAGUGUAUGUAAAUCACAUUACUGUGAUACAGUAAGGUGGUAUACCUUACCAUAUGUAUAAAAUCAUCUUCAUAUUAUAUAGGCAUGUGUAAAAUGCCCAAAAUGUAAAGAACAUUUGAAUUUGCAUCAUGUGAACUUAACAUGAGGAACAUGAAUGACAUUUACUCUCACGGGUGGCCAAUAAGAGCUAGCUGAAAGAUAUUCCCCCAAUAAACCAGGCGUCCUGAAGGUAGCCUAUGGAUUACAUUCAAAAAUUUCCAAUUGAUGACUAAAUCAAUCCAUGUUUGAGUAAUCCCAACCACUCAACGUGUUGGGUUAUUCACGCAACCCAACCGGCUGGGUCAAAAUAACCCAACAUGUACUGUCCACCAUUUAAGCAGUCCUGGGUUACCAAAUAAUCCAAAUUGGGUUGUUUUUAGAUGAUCAUUUUUUAGAGUGCAGUCCUAUCAUGUGACUCAGAGGACAGUCGUGCUGACACUAGGACAGUAAUGAUAAGGUAGUUAGUUACAAGGCGGGGUUAAUUGCUGUCUUUGUAAAGAGAUUGCCUAAUAGCCGUAUAAAAGGGGGAUACGGGCGGUUAAACAUGAUCAAAGCAGGGUCACUAUGUAGGGGGC
This 2160-nucleotide long non-coding RNA is filed under the name Salmo salar (Atlantic salmon). Its description in RNAcentral is "lncRNA (ENSSSAG00000116328.1)". Lineage: Eukaryota; Metazoa; Chordata; Actinopteri; Salmoniformes; Salmonidae. The record is from RNAcentral.